Sapajus apella (tufted capuchin) is the source of this 873-nucleotide RNA transcript. It is a transcript of the gene named ADP-ribosylation factor 4 pseudogene, with no coding region annotated. The record is from RefSeq and is a predicted model, not a curated record. Lineage: Eukaryota; Metazoa; Chordata; Mammalia; Primates; Cebidae. The transcript has a single exon.
UAGAGCCGGAGCUGCCCCACCAGUUGCCUAGCAGGUCCUCUACCGGCUAAUUCCUGUCCUGGAGCUUCAUUGGCACAGUGGCCAGCGAGACGUUCCAGCCUCCCUGUUUCUUCCUCUGCUUUCUCUUCCCUCUGGUUUAGUUUGCUGGGAGCGCGAAAGGAGAAAGCACAGGGCCGCCCCAAACCCGUUUUGCUUCUGCCCAUCACAAGUGCCACUACCACCAUGGGCUUCCCUGUCUCCUCCCAUUUCUCCCGCCUCUUUGGCAAGAAGCAGAUGCGCAUUUUGAUGGUUGGAUUGGAUGCUGCUGGCAAAACAACCAUUCUGUAUAAACUGAAGUUAGGGGAGAUAGUCACCACCAUUCCUACCAUUGGUUUUAACAUGGAAACAGUAGAAUAUAAGAACAUUUGUUUCACAGUAUGGGAUGUUGGUGGUCAAGAUAGAAUUAGGCCUCCUCUGGAAGCAUUAUUUCCAGAAUACCCAGAGUCUUAUUUUUGUGGUAGAUAGCAAUGAUCGUGAAAGAAUUCAGGAAGUAGCAGAUGAGCUGCAGAAAAUGCAUCUGGCAGAUGAGCUGAUAGAUGCAGUGCUGCUGCUUUUUGCAAACAAACAGGAUUUGCCAAAUGCUAUGGCCAUCAGUGAAAUGACAGAUAAACUAGGUCUUCAGUCUCUUCGUAACAGAACAUGGUAUGUUCAAGCCACUUGUGCAACACAAGGAACUGGUCUGUAUGAAGGACUUGACUGGCUGUCAAAUGAGUUUUCAAAACGUUAAAUGAAACUGGAUAACUAACCAAGGACAUGUUUGAUAAAAUUGGUCUAGGCUUGUUACAACAAAAUUAGUUUGUAUCUUGGUUAUUAAACAGUAUCUGGGAAAAAAAA